This 253-nucleotide ribosomal RNA is filed under the name uncultured bacterium. Its description in RNAcentral is "partial 16S ribosomal RNA". It matches the Rfam family "Bacterial small subunit ribosomal RNA", at positions 524 to 776 of the family's 1533-position model. The record is from RNAcentral.
UACGAAGGGGGCUAGCGUUGUUCGGAAUUACUGGGCGUAAAGGGCGCGUAGGCGGCGUGUCAAGUCAGGCGUGAAAGCCCCGGGCUCAACCUGGGAACCGCGCUUGAGACUGGCAUGCUCGAGUUCGGGAGAGGAUGGUGGAAUUCCCAGUGUAGCGGUGAAAUGCGUAGAUAUUGGGAAGAACACCGGUGGCGAAGGCGGCGACCUGGUCCGAUACUGACGCUGAGGCGCGAAAGCGUGGGGAGCGAACAGG